AGCGUACACGGUGGAUGCCCUGGCAGUCAGAGGCGAUGAAGGACGUGCUAAUCUGCGAAAAGCGCCGGCGAGGUGAUAUGAACCCUUGACCCGGCGAUGUCCGAAUGGGGAAACCCAGUGUGUUCCGACACACUAUCGUUAACUGAAUACAUAGGUUAACGAGGCGAACCGGGGGAACUGAAACAUCUAAGUACCCCGAGGAAAAGAAAUCAACCGAGAUUCCCCCAGUAGCGGCGAGCGAACGGGGAGCAGCCCGGAGUCUGAAUCAGCUUGUGUGUUAGUGGAACGGUCUGGAAAGUCCGACGGUACAGGGUGAUAGUCCCGUACACGAAAACACACUUGCUGUGAACUCGAAGAGUAGGGCGGGACACGUGGUAUCCUGUCUGAAUAUGGGGGGACCAUCCUCCAAGGCUAAAUACUCCUGACUGACCGAUAGUGAACCAGUACCGUGAGGGAAAGGCGAAAAGAACCCCGGCGAGGGGAGUGAAAAAGAACCUGAAACCGUGUACGUACAAGCAGUGGGAGCNGUGACUGCGUACCUUUUGUAUAAUGGGUCAGCGACUUAUAUUCUGUAGCAAGGUUAACCGUAUAGGGGAGCCGAAGGGAAACCGAGUCUUAACUGGGCGUUAAGUUGCAGGGUAUAGACCCGAAACCCGGUGAUCUAGCCAUGGGCAGGUUGAAGGUUGGGUAACACUAACUGGAGGACCGAACCGACUAAUGUUGAAAAAUUAGCGGAUGACCUGUGGCUGGGGGUGAAAGGCCAAUCAAACCGGGAGAUAGCUGGUUCUCCCCGAAAGCUAUUUAGGUAGCGCCUCGUGAACUCAUCUUCGGGGGUAGAGCACUGUUUCGGCUAGGGGGCCAUCCCGGCUUACCAACCCGAUGCAAACUACGAAUACCGAAGAAUGUUAUCACGGGAGACACACGGCGGGUGCUAACGUCCGUCGUGAAGAGGGAAACAACCCAGACCGCCAGCUAAGGUCCCAAAGUCAUGGUUAAGUGGGAAACGAUGUGGGAAGGCACAGACAGCCAGGAUGUUGGCUUAGAAGCAGCCAUCAUUUAAAGAAAGCGUAAUAGCUCACUGGUCGAGUCGGCCUGCGCGGAAGAUGUAACGGGGCUAAACCAUGCACCGAAGCUGCGGCAGCGACACUAUGUGUUGUUGGGUAGGGGAGCGUUCUGUAAGCCGUUGAAGGUGUGCUGUGAGGCAUGCUGGAGGUAUCAGAAGUGCGAAUGCUGACAUAAGUAACGAUAAAGCGGGUGAAAAGCCCGCUCGCCGGAAGACCAAGGGUUCCUGUCCAACGUUAAUCGGGGCAGGGUGAGUCGACCCCUAAGGCGAGGCCGAAAGGCGUAGUCGAUGGGAAACAGGUUAAUAUUCCUGUACUUGGUGUUACUGCGAAGGGGGGACGGAGAAGGCUAUGUCAGCCGGGCGACGGUUGUCCCGGUUUAAGCAUGUAGGCGGAGGUUCCAGGUAAAUCCGGUACCUUUUAACGCUGAGGUGUGAUGACGAGGCACUACGGUGCUGAAGUGAUAAAUGCCCUGCUUCCAGGAAAAGCCUCUAAGCAUCAGGUAACACGAAAUCGUACCCCAAACCGACACAGGUGGUCAGGUAGAGAAUACCAAGGCGCUUGAGAGAACUCGGGUGAAGGAACUAGGCAAAAUGGUGCCGUAACUUCGGGAGAAGGCACGCUGAUAGGUAGGUGAAGCCCCUGCGGGCGGAGCUGAAAUCAGUCGAAGAUACCAGCUGGCUGCAACUGUUUAUUAAAAACACAGCACUGUGCAAACACGAAAGUGGACGUAUACGGUGUGACGCCUGCCCGGUGCCGGAAGGUUAAUUGAUGGGGUCAGCGGCAACGCGAAGCUCUUGAUCGAAGCCCCGGUAAACGGCGGCCGUAACUAUAACGGUCCUAAGGUAGCGAAAUUCCUUGUCGGGUAAGUUCCGACCUGCACGAAUGGCGUAAUGAUGGCCAGGCUGUCUCCACCCGAGACUCAGUGAAAUUGAACUCGCUGUGAAGAUGCAGUGUACCCGCGGCAAGACGGAAAGACCCCGUGAACCUUUACUAUAGCUUGACACUGAACACUGGUCCUUGAUGUGUAGGAUAGGUGGGAGGCUUUGAAGCGUGGACGCCAGUCUGCGUGGAGCCAUCCUUGAAAUACCACCCUUUAAUGGCUGGUGUUCUAACGUAGACCCGUAAUCCGGGUUGCGGACAGUGUCUGGUGGGUAGUUUGACUGGGGCGGUCUCCUCCCAAAGAGUAACGGAGGAGCACGAAGGUUGGCUAAUCCUGGUCGGACAUCAGGAGGUUAGUGCAAUGGCAUAAGCCAGCUUGACUGCGAGCGUGACGGCGCGAGCAGGUGCGAAAGCAGGUCAUAGUGAUCCGGUGGUUCUGAAUGGAAGGGCCAUCGCUCAACGGAUAAAAGGUACUCCGGGGAUAACAGGCUGAUACCGCCCAAGAGUUCAUAUCGACGGCGGUGUUUGGCACCUCGAUGUCGGCUCAUCACAUCCUGGGGCUGAAGUAGGUCCCAAGGGUAUGGCUGUUCGCCAUUUAAAGUGGUACGCGAGCUGGGUUUAGAACGUCGUGAGACAGUUCGGUCCCUAUCUGCCGUGGGCGCUGGAGAAUUGAGGGGGGCUGCUCCUAGUACGAGAGGACCGGAGUGGACGCAUCACUGGUGUUCGGGUUGUCAUGCCAAUGGCACUGCCCGGUAGCUAAAUGCGGAAGAGAUAAGUGCUGAAAGCAUCUAAGCACGAAACUUGCCCCGAGAUGAGUUCU
This 2763-nucleotide ribosomal RNA is filed under the name Enterobacter cloacae. Its description in RNAcentral is "bacterial LSU rRNA". It matches the Rfam family "Bacterial large subunit ribosomal RNA". The record is from RNAcentral. Lineage: Bacteria; Pseudomonadati; Pseudomonadota; Gammaproteobacteria; Enterobacterales; Enterobacteriaceae.